GAAAGAUCCACAGAGGAGGGCCCUUGAUGGGAGAGCUUAGUUAUGAAGCUUACGGAUAUUGAUCGUAUUACUCGACAAGAGCACCCAGCUGGUGGAUGUCCUCCUUUGUGAAAUGCCUGUUCAAGGCUUCUGCCUAUUUUCCUCUUCAGUUGUCUGCUUUUCAUGCUGGGGGCGGUUGGAAGAGGAGGAGUAGCGUAGGAGUUCUUUGUGUCAUUGGAUGAGUUCUCCGUCAGACCACUUGAUCUGGAGGAAGCCAGCUGCCAUAGCAUGAGGACAGUUAGUGGACUAUGAAGAGGCCCAGGUGGUUAGGAAGUGAGGACCUCUGCGAACAGCUGAAGAAGAACUGGCCUUUUGUCAACAGUUCCAUGCUGUUUUUGUACAACAGAAGCUAUAUAAGCACCUACUUACCAGCACAGUACCACAGAUGCUACAAGGGAGAUCCUUUACCAAACGCCACAGUAUCCAACAAAACUGAAGAUACACAUACCACCAGAAAGGUUAUCAGAAUCCUGCUCCUAGACAUGCAUGCAACAGAAAUAGGUGCACAUGUACAUCAAAAGACAUGUAUAUGGAUGUGGAGAAAAGGGAACCCUCCUACACUCUUGGUGGGAUUAUAAAUUGGUGCAGCCACUAUGGAAAACAGUAUGGAAGAUCUUCAAAAAAUUAAAAAUAGAACUGUUACCAGUUUUGAUUCCCUCUCAUGGGACUUAAACCCACAAUUAGAAGGGACCCAAGGAAGAACCCAG
This 746-nucleotide long non-coding RNA is filed under the name Equus asinus (donkey). RNAcentral's name for it is "lncRNA (ENSEASG00005034737.1)". Lineage: Eukaryota; Metazoa; Chordata; Mammalia; Perissodactyla; Equidae. The record is from RNAcentral.